GACGAACCGUGCGAACGUUAUUCGGAAUCACUGGGCUUAAAGGGCGCGUAGGCGGGCCGGGUAGUCAGGGGUGAAAGCCUCCAGCCCAACUGGAGAAGCGCCUUUGAUACUGUCGGCCUCGAGGGGUGCAGGGGCAUGCGGAACUCAGGGUGGAGCGGUGAAAUGCGUAGAUAUCCUGAGGAACACCGGUGGCGAAAGCGGCGUGCUGGACACCUUCUGACGCUGAGGCGCGAAAGCCAGGGGAGCGAACGGG
Molecule: ribosomal RNA, 253 nt
Filed under: uncultured bacterium
Lineage: Bacteria
Description: partial 16S ribosomal RNA
Rfam family: Bacterial small subunit ribosomal RNA
Source: RNAcentral